UUGGGUUGGCAGACAACUCAUUUUUUGCCUCACAGGCACUGACAGUGGCACCCAGGCACAAAGCAGGCAAAGAGCCAGAGCCCUGUGUAACACACCAUGGAAAGCUGCUCUCCCUAAGUGGUGCUGCCUUCCUGUUACUCACCAGAGGUGUGAAGGUGAAGCAGGCCUUGGUGUGCUUGACUGCAUAGAAAGGUUUUCAAGGAUUAUCAAUGUCAGCCACACCAGGGGAUGAAGACAGGAAUUUUUGUUUGCAUUUGACACUAAUAAAAGUAAAGAUGGAUUCUUAA
This is a long non-coding RNA of Serinus canaria (Common canary), 287 nucleotides long. RefSeq lists it as uncharacterized. The transcript has 2 exons. The record is from RefSeq and is a predicted model, not a curated record. NCBI's taxonomy places the organism in Eukaryota, Metazoa, Chordata, Aves, Passeriformes, Fringillidae.